GAUGAAGAACGUAGCGAAAUGCGAUAAGUAAUGUGAAUUGCAGAAUUCAGUGAAUCAUCGAAUUUUUGAACGCACAUUGCGCCCGCCAGUAUUCUGGCGGGCAUGCCUGUUCGAGCGUCAUUUCAACCAUCAAGCCCCAGGCUUGUGUUGGGGACCUGCGGCUGCCGCAGGCCCUGAAAACCAGUGGCGGGCUCGCUGUCACACCGGGCGUAGUAGAUUUUAUCUCGCUCUGGGCGUGCUGCGGGUUCCGGCCGUUAAAAAACCCUUUUAACCCAAGGUUGACCUCGGAUCAGGUAGGAAUACCCGCUGAACUUAAGCAUAUCAAUAAGCGGAGGA
RNAcentral lists this unclassified non-coding RNA (336 nucleotides) under soil metagenome. Its description in RNAcentral is "partial contains 5.8S ribosomal RNA, internal transcribed spacer 2, and large subunit ribosomal RNA". The stretch from base 1 to 120 matches the Rfam family "5.8S ribosomal RNA", at positions 35 to 154 of the family's 154-position model. The record is from RNAcentral.